Drosophila virilis is the source of this 7067-nucleotide non-coding RNA. The record is from RefSeq and is a predicted model, not a curated record. NCBI's taxonomy places the organism in Eukaryota, Metazoa, Arthropoda, Insecta, Diptera, Drosophilidae.
ACUGCUUAUGCUUUGUUAAGGGUACCUAAAUUGAAGGACUGAUUAGUUAAAUAUAUGUAUAAGUGUCACACCUUGAAAAGGGACAAUUCUUGCCGAUCAUAACCCACUUUAACAAAGGGAAUUACACAUGUCAAUUCUCCUGGAAAAAUACUUAUUUCUAUAACAAAGGAACUGUGUCAGUGGGCAGAGUAUACAAAGCAGUGAGGCACGUAGGCAGCGAACACAGCAGUGUAUUCACUCGCACCUUCGUAAUACAUUUGUCGCACACAAGGGAGACAAAUCGAUUUUUCGAAGCGUCGAGAAGGCAGCUGCCGCUGGGUAUAAAUACAGCUCGCAGCAGGCAUUUCAGUCAUUCGGAAAAAAUAAGUGCUCAAGUGAAGUUCUGUCGUGAAACUGAAAUUAAUUGAAGAAAAGUUGUUUCUAAUAUAAAGUGCUAAAUUUUCACAUUAGUUGUUACACACACAUACCAUGUAUAUAUAUUGUUCAACGGCAAUGCAAAUGUGUGCAGAAACAGUUGGAAAGGCAAACCUGAGGAGCUAUAACAUGGCACGAAGGCUGAAAUAAUUGCUAGUACGGGUUUCUCAAGCAUUUCUGCUCUGAACAAAGAAAAUGAAAUCAGCUCCUCGUCGUCAUCUCAGCGUGGGCACGUCAGGCAUUUUCACAUAACGGCGAAAUGGGGCCACACAAAACCAGACUUGGCGGUGCGAAAACCCAACCAAGUUUUUCAUCUUUGGCUAGAAAGUUGCACUGUAGGCAGGCUGAGGCAGAUGCCAGGCGUUUGAAUUGCUAGCCGGAGUGUGCGGAGUGUGUGUGUUGUCCUGGACUUGAGGAGUUUGGAUAGGAAGCCAGGUAUAAAACGCAGCGAAGACAGCUUGUUCUCUUGUUAUACGUAAGCAAAAACUCUAAGCUUAAGGCGUAGUUUUUAUUGCCAGUCAAUUUUUCAAUUUCUAAAACGUUUUCCAACGUGUGACGUCAGCGUGUUUUUUUUCUUGCUUUUCUAAGUAAACGUUUGUACAAAUUUCUCUUCGAAAUGAACAAAUUUGCAAAUAUUGUGUAAUAUUCAUAUUUGCAAUUUCUGUAUUGCGUAAUAUCGUUUUUUCGUCGCAUCUAGCACAAAAUCCACCCCAUGCAGGGCCAUGAGUCAUCUUAUUUUCUGUCAUACAUGAACCACCUCGACUGUUCUAUGUGUAAAACGCCCAAAGAAGAGCGGUUGGCCUGCUCUAAAAAUAAUGCGCAUUGUAUGCAUUGCAUGUAUAUAUACGACUCGUAUACACAUUCUAUCUCGCUUGCACACUUACGUACAGAUGCCUUUGCGUGGCCCAGCAGCUGCGCAAUCAACCCACCCCGUGGUGAGUUAUUGGACCCGCCUUUGUUGUAUUGAUUUGACUCUCCACCUCUUCUGUACGUAUACGUAUAAGUGUGUUACCAUCUCUUACACAAGUAUCUCUGGAACGGUCGCUUUUAUUGGCAAUUUACGUACUAAAUUAAGUUCUUUAGCCCUUUAAAAAUCUAGUUGUUAAUCUUUAUUAAUUAACUGCCAUUUUGAUAAUUGUUUUACACGUUAACCAAGCAAUAUGUAUUUCUUUCUCUAAACUUUAUAGUUGGGCGUUGAAAGUUGAUACGCGAUCGAUAGAUGUUAUAACUCGAAUGCAAUGCGUGCGAAAGGGCAUUACAACAGCUGAAAUAUGCCGUUGGUGUGGCCCCGUUAGCCGUGUGGCGAGAGUAUAUCUGAACUCAGCGACCUGUGUGUGUCGCUACCUACACACAGGGGUACUAAACAUCGUUUUUAUCAGAUUGAUUGCGUGGAUUGAAUUUAUAGGAACCUGUAUCGACUUCUCUGCUCUACUAAGACUUGUUCAAAACAAAGGCGCACAAUUACCUAUACGUUUAUAUACGGCCUUCUAUUAUUUACCUAACAUCAUCGAACCGUUAUCAAUACCGAUCCAAACAGAUAUAAACACUACUGACAUCGAUCGAUAAAGAUAUAUAUCUCGUAUCUGGAGUAGCAACUGAACGAGCCAAUCGUUAGUUCGUUUUAUGCAGCACAAUUUACAAACUAUAUUCUUGUUAUUUACUUAUUUUUUUGUUGUAAACAUAAACAUUUGCUAGUACACGACAUGUGCGACUUAAGUUCUUAAAUACCUGAAACUGUUAAACAAAAAGAAAAAAAACAAAGAAAAUAUUCUGUUUUUGUACACAACCCAAGAUUUAAGAAAAUUUGUCCAUUUAUUGUUGUAAAUAUACUUGUCCAUACCAGUUAUAGAUAAUGAAUGAAGAAUAUAAGAAAAAAAGAAUGAGCUCAUCAAUACAGAAAAGAAGCUACAAACAAAAAAGAAUAAAAGAAAUCUAAGAAGACCAAUAAAUUUCGAAACAAUUGUUCGCCAUAUUUUUAUUUUAAGCUAAAAUUCUACACAAAUUUCAGUCUUAUCAUCGUACAAAUGGAGGAAGGGCCACUCUAAAUAUCCCAUACAGGUUUAUUUACACGAAAAUUAUGCGUAUAAAAGUCUAUGAAAUUUCUAAGGUUUGAAGUUAAGGUAAACAUCGACAACAUAUAUAUAUAUAUAUAUAUAUAAAAGAGACAUUCCCUAUAAAUAUGUUAAAAUUUUUCUCUAUACGCAUUGCUUGCGAUCAUAUAAGGGAAAUAUAUGCGAAUUUGAAAAUUAUAAAUUAAGCAGGGCUUUGGUAAAUGCUAAAAUAUGCGGUAAACUGCAAAAACGGUUAAAUAUUCAAAUUUGAGACACUUCAUCAAUGGCCGUAUUAAUACAAUUUUACAGACCCAACAUUACACAAUAUUCUACAAUUUAUUCCACUUUUCUGAUUUACUUAAGAAUUUAAGUUAAGUGUCUUCAAUUUGUCUUUAAUUUUUUUUUUUUAGUUGUCUUUACUAUCAAACUAUCUUAACUAAAUAUCAAACACAGCCUGAACACAUAAAAUUUACUUCAAAUACCAAGCGGAAACUAAACAACAAGGAUUAAACACUUCCAAUCCCCAAAAGCAAUUUUUCUUCCACAACUUAUCAACAUCGGAAGUUAACUUCAAUGACAAAAGUAUCCUUUAAUGGUCAGAAUUGUCCAGCAUAAAAUGGAACAUCCCAUCCGAUUAUCUGUUUACAUUUCAACCUGGAAAUUUCCAUCAAAGAAUUAGUACAUUUUCAAACUCGUCUCAAAUUGCACCAUCUGAAACAAUGGAAACUUCGUCAGCCCAGGCAUAAAUCUACCUCAAUGCACCACAUUCAAUUCAAGCAAAUACUUCUCAAAUAUUAAUGUGCCAACCAAGUAUACAUCCACAAAAUUCGUCUGCUUCUCAACUUCUCCAUCUACAAGCAUCUCAAUAUCGUCUACUUCCCCAACUGCUCCAUCUACAAGCAACUCAAUCUUUUACUUCCUCAACUGCUCCUCCAUCUACAAGCAACUCAACACAGCUGACACCUUUAAAAUUUAUCAGACACUAUUUUAAGUUCGAUUUUCAACAAUUUCAAAAUAUUUUUUCAACGUUCUUUGUCGUUCGACAAAUUUUUACUAUUUAUAUAUAUCUGAGCCGUGAUUACAACCAAAUAUUAAAUUAAAUUUGUCAAACACAUUACGAAACGUUCUACUGACACCACGUUGUCUUAAACAUCCUUAUAAAACUGCGUCCAAUACAAAUUAUAAAUUAUUAAGCAUACGAAAAAGUGAAAACAGAAAUUUCCCUGCGAUUACAAAAAGAGCGUAAAAACACACGAAAACUGCGAAGAAUUUAAGAAAGUGGAGUGUAUGGUUAAGAGUGUGAAAACAUAGAAAUUUCCCUAAUAGGUAGGUCAUACACAAACCCCGAUUACAACCCAAAUUUAAAACAUACAAGAGCGUAAAAACACACGAAAACUGCGAUGAAUUUAAGAAAGUGGAAUGUUUAGUUAAGAGUGUGAAAACAUAGAAAUUUCCCUAAUAGGUAGGACAUACACAAACUGCGAUGAAUUUGAGAGAAUGGAGUAUUCGGUUAAGAGUGUGAGGACAUAAAAAUUUCCUUUUUAGGUAGGACAUAAACAAACCCCGAUUACAACCCAAAUUUAAAACAUACAAGAGCGUAAAAACACACGAAAACUGCGAUGAAUUUAUGAAAGUGGAGUGUUUGGUUAAGAGUGUGAAGACAUAGAAAUUUCCCUAAUAGGUAGGACAUACACAAACUGCGAUGAAUUUAAGAAAGUGGAGUGUUUGGUUAAGAGUGUGAAAACAUAGAAAUUUCCUUUUUAGGUAGGACAUAAACAAACCCCGAUUACAACCCAAAUUUAAAACAUACAAGAGCGUAAAAACACACGAAAACUGCGAUGAAUUUAUGAAAGUGGAGUGUUUGGUUAAGAGUGUGAAGACAUAGAAAUUUCCCUAAUAGGUAGGACAUACACAAACUGCGAAGAAUUUGAAGAAAGUGGAGUGUUUGGUUAAGAGUGUGAAAACAUAGAAAUUUCCCUAAUAGGUAGGUCAUACACAAACCCCGAUUACAACCCAAAUUUAAAACAUACAAGAGCGUUAAAACGUACACGAAAACUGCGAUGAAUUUGAGAGAAUGGAGUGUUUGGUUAAGAGUGUGAAGACAGAAAUUUCCCUAAUAGGUAGGUCAUACACAAACCCCGAUUACAACCCAAAUUUAAAACAUACAAGAGCGUUAAUUUAAGAGAAUGGAGUGUUUGGUUAAGAGUGUGAAGACAUAGAAAUUUCCCUAAUAGGUAGGUCAUACACAAACCCCGAUUACAACCCAAAUUUAAAACCUACAAGAGCGUAAAAACACACGAAAACUGCUAUGAAUUUGAAGAAAGUGGAGUGUUUGGUUAAGAGUGUGAAAACAUAUAAAUUUCCCUAAUAGGUAGGACAUACACAAACUGCGAUGAAUUUGAGAGAAUGGAGUAUUCGGUUAAGAGUGUGAGGACAUAGAAAUUUCCUUUUUAGGUAGGACAUACACAAACUGCGAUGAAUUUGAGAGAAUGGAGUGUUUGGUUAAGAGUGUGAAGACAUAGAAAUUUCCCUAAUAGGUAGGACAUACACAAACUGCGAUUACAACCCAAAUUUAAAACAUACAAGAGCGUAAAAACACACUAAAGCUGCGAUGCAUUUGAAGAAAGUGGAGUGUUCGAUUAAGAGUGUGAAAACAUAGAAAUUUCCCUAAUAGGUAGGUCAUACACAAACCCCGAUUACAACCCAAAUUUAAAACCUACAAGAGCGUAAAAACACACGAAAACUGCUAUGAAUUUGAAGAAAGUGGAGUGUUUGGUUAAGAGUGUGAAAACAUAUAAAUUUCCCUAAUAGGUAGGACAUACACAAACUGCGAUGAAUUUGAGAGAAUGGAGUAUUCGGUUAAGAGUGUGAGGACAUAAAAAUUUCCUUUUUAGGUAGGACAUACACAAACUGCGAUGAAUUUGAGAGAAUGGAGUGUUUGGUUAAGAGUGUGAAGACAUAGAAAUUUCCCUAAUAGGUAGGACAUACACAAACUGCGAUGAAUUUAAGAAAGUGGAGUGUUUGGUUAAGAGUGUGAAGACAUAGAAAUUUCCCUAAUAGGUAGGACAUACACAAACUGCGAUGAAUUUGAAGAAAGUGGAGUGUUUGGUUAAGAGUGUGAAGACAUAGAAAUUUCCCAAAUAGGUAGGACAUAAACAAACCCCGAUUACAACCCAAAUUUAAAACAUACAAGAGCGUAAAAACACACGAAAACUGCGAUGAAUUUGAAGAAAGUGGAGUGUUUGGUUAAGAGUGUGAAGACAUAGAAAUUUCCCUAAUAGGUAGGACAUACACAAACUGCGAUGAAUUUGAGAGAAUGGAGUGUGAAAACAUAGGUAUUUCUCCAUUAGGUAGGACAUAAACAAACCCCGAUUACAACCCAAAUUUAAAACAUACAAGAGCGUAAAAACACACGAAAACUGCGAUGAAUUUGAAGAAAGUGGAGUGUUUGGUUAAGAGUGUGAAGACAUAGAAAUUUCCCUAAUAGGUAGGACAUACACAAACUGCGAUGAAUUUAAGAAAGUGGAGUGUUUGGUUAAGAGUGUGAAGACAUAGAAAUUUCCCUAAUAGGUAGGACAUACACAAACUGCGAUGAAUUUGAGAGAAUGGAGUGUGAAAACAUAGGUAUUUCUCCAUUAGGUAGGACAUAAACAAACCCCGAUUACAACCCAAAUUUAAAACAUACAAGAGCGUUAAAACGUACACGAAAACUGCGAUGAAUUUGAGAGAAUGGAGUAUUCGGUUAAGAGUGUGAAAACAUAGAUAUUUCUCUAUUAGGUAGGACAUAAACAAACCCCGAUUACACCCAAAUUUAAAACAUACAAGAGCGUUAAAACACACGAAAACUGCGAUGAAUUUAAGAAAGUGGAGUGUUUGGUUAAGAGUGUGAAAACAUAGAAAUUUCUCCAUUAGGUAGGACAUAAACAAACCCCGAUUACAACCCAAAUUUAAAACAAACAAGAGCGUAAAAACACACGAAAACUGCGAUGAAUUUGAAGAAAGUGGAGUGUUUGGUUAAGAGUGUGAAGACAUAGAAAUUUCCCUAAUAGGUAGGACAUACACAAACUGCGAUGAAUUUAAGAAAGUGGAGUGUUUGGUUAAGAGUGUGAAGACAUAGAUAUUUCUCUAUUAGGUAGGACAUAAACAAACCCCGAUUACAACCCAAAUUUAAAACCUACAAGAGCGUAAAAACACACGAAAACUGCUAUGAAUUUGAAGAAAGUGGAAUGUUCGAUUAAGAGUGUGAAGACAUAGAAAUUUCCCUAAUAGGUAGGUCAUACACAAACCCCGAUUACAACCCAAAUUUAAAACAUACAAGAGCGUUAAAACGUACACGAAAACUGCGAUGAAUUUGAGAGAAUGGAGUGUUUGGUUAAGAGUGUGAAAACAUAGAUAUUUCUCUAUUACGUAGGUCAUACACAAACCCCGAUUACAACCCAAAUUUAAAACGUACAAGAGCGUUAAAACGUACACGAAAACUGCGAUGAAUUUGAGAGAAUGGAGUGUGAAAACAUAGGUAUUUCUCCAUUAGGUAGGACAUAAACAAACCCCGAUUACAACCCAAAUUUAAAACAUACAAGAGCGUUAAAACGUACACGAAAA